RNAcentral lists this ribosomal RNA (497 nucleotides) under uncultured bacterium. RNAcentral describes it as "partial 16S ribosomal RNA". It matches the Rfam family "Bacterial small subunit ribosomal RNA", at positions 30 to 522 of the family's 1533-position model. The record is from RNAcentral.
AUUGAACGCUGGCGGAAUGCUUUACACAUGCAAGUCGAACGGCAGCACGGGGCAACCUGGUGGCGAGUGGCGAACGGGUGAGUAAUACAUCGGAACGUGCCCAGUCGUGGGGGAUUACGUAGCGAAAGUUACGCUAAUACCGCAUACGAUCUAAGGAUGAAAGCGGGGGAUCGCAAGACCUCGCGCGAUUGGAGCGGCCGAUGUCAGAUUAGGUAGUUGGUGGGGUAAAGGCCCACCAAGCCGACGAUCUGUAGCUGGUCUGAGAGGACGACCAGCCACACUGGGACUGAGACACGGCCCAGACUCCUACGGGAGGCAGCAGUGGGGAAUUUUGGACAAUGGGCGCAAGCCUGAUCCAGCCAUUCCGCGUGCAGGAUGAAGGCCUUCGGGUUGUAAACUGCUUUUGUACGGAGCGAAAAGGCUCUCUCUAAUACAGGGGGCUCAUGACGGUACCGUAAGAAUAAGCACCGGCUAACUACGUGCCAGCCGCCGCCGUA